RNAcentral lists this ribosomal RNA (478 nucleotides) under uncultured bacterium. Its description in RNAcentral is "partial 16S ribosomal RNA". It matches the Rfam family "Bacterial small subunit ribosomal RNA", at positions 28 to 523 of the family's 1533-position model. The record is from RNAcentral.
GACGAACGCUGGCGGCGUGCUUAACACAUGCAAGUCGAACGGUAAGGCCCUUCGGGGUACACGAGUGGCGAACGGGUGAGUAACACGUGGGUGAUCUGCCCUGCACUUCGGGAUAAGCCUGGGAAACUGGGUCUAAUACCGGAUAGGACCACUGCCUACAUGGGUGGUGGUGGAAAGCUUUUGCGGUGUGGGAUGGGACCGCGGCCUAUCAGCUUGUUGGUGGGGUGAUGGCCUACCAAGGCGACGACGGGUAGCCGGCCUGAGAGGGUGACCGGCCACACUGGGACUGAGAUACGGCCCAGACUCCUACGGGAGGCAGCAGUGGGGAAUAUUGCACAAUGGGCGCAAGCCUGAUGCAGCGACGCCGCGUGAGGGAUGACGGCCUUCGGGUUGUAAACCUCUUUCAGCACCGACGAAGCGCAAGUGACGGUAGGUGCAGAAGAAGGACCGGCCAACUACGUGCCAGCCGCCGCAGUAA